RNAcentral lists this ribosomal RNA (486 nucleotides) under uncultured bacterium. RNAcentral's name for it is "partial 16S ribosomal RNA". It matches the Rfam family "Bacterial small subunit ribosomal RNA", at positions 28 to 507 of the family's 1533-position model. The record is from RNAcentral.
GACGAACGCUGGCGGCGUGCUUAACACAUGCAAGUCGUACGAUGACCCGGCUCUUCGGAGCUGGUGAUAAUGGCCAACGGGGGGGUAAACAGGUGGGGGACUGCCCUUCCAUCUGGGGUUAACCCGGGGAAAUGGGGCUAAUAAUGGGUACGACCAAUGGCCGCCUGGUCUUCCGGGGGGAAAGCCUUCCGGGGGGGGUGGGGUGGGCCCGCGGCCUAUCAGCUUGUUGGUGGGGUGAUGGCCUACCAAGGCGACGACGGGUAGCCGGCCUGAGAGGGUGUCCGGCCACACUGGGACUGAGACACGGCCCAGACUCCUACGGGAGGCAGCAGUGGGGAAUCUUGCACAAUGGGCGAAAGCCUGAUGCAGCGACGCCGCGUGAGGGAUGACGGCCUUCGGGUUGUAAACCUCUUUCGGCAGGGAACAAGCCUGGGGGUUUUCUUCUGGGUGAGGGUACCUGCGGAAGAAGCACCGGCUAACUACGUG